CCUACGGGAGGCAGCAGUAGGGAAUUUUCGGUAAUGGGGGGAACCCUGACCGAGCAACGCCGCGUGAACGAAGAAGUUAUUCGUAAUGUAAAGUUCUUUUUACAGGGAAGCAAGAGAAAUUUGACGGUACCUGAAGGAUAAGCCCCGGCUAACUCCGGGCCAGCAGCCGCGGUAAUAGGUAGGGAGCGAGCGUUAACCGGAAUUAUUGGGCGUAAAGGGUGCGUAGAUGGCAUUGUAAGUCUUUUGUAAAAAUGCUGGGCUCAACCCAGUAGGGCAGAAGAUACUGCAAAGCUAGAGUAUGAGAGAGGCAAGCGGAACGAGAUGUGUAGCGGUAAAAUGCGUAAAUA
RNAcentral lists this ribosomal RNA (347 nucleotides) under uncultured bacterium. RNAcentral describes it as "partial 16S ribosomal RNA". It matches the Rfam family "Bacterial small subunit ribosomal RNA", at positions 338 to 696 of the family's 1533-position model. The record is from RNAcentral.